RNAcentral lists this transfer RNA (74 nucleotides) under Bacteriophage sp. RNAcentral describes it as "tRNA-Pro". It matches the Rfam family "tRNA". Rfam says of the family: Transfer RNA (tRNA) molecules are approximately 80 nucleotides in length. Their secondary structure includes four short double-helical elements and three loops (D, anti-codon, and T loops). RNAcentral also lists the same sequence under 1 other name. The record is from RNAcentral.
CGAGGUGUAGCUCAGCUUGGUAGAGCGCUGCGUUCGGGACGCAGAGGCCGCAAGUUCAAGUCUUGUCACCUCGA